This 77-nucleotide transfer RNA is filed under the name Clostridiales bacterium. RNAcentral's name for it is "tRNA-Arg". It matches the Rfam family "tRNA". Rfam says of the family: Transfer RNA (tRNA) molecules are approximately 80 nucleotides in length. RNAcentral also lists the same sequence under 1 other name. Lineage: Bacteria; Bacillati; Bacillota; Clostridia; Eubacteriales. The record is from RNAcentral.
GCGCCUUUAGCUCAGCUGGAUAGAGUGUUUGACUACGAAUCAAAAGGUCGGGGGUUCGAAUCCCUCAAGGCGCGCCA